RNAcentral lists this long non-coding RNA (235 nucleotides) under Physcomitrium patens. Its description in RNAcentral is "long non-coding RNA (PPAT_LNC012450)". The record is from RNAcentral. Lineage: Eukaryota; Viridiplantae; Streptophyta; Bryopsida; Funariales; Funariaceae.
UUGUCGAUCCUUCAUUGCUCUAUGUAAACAUAUGUUAUGCCUCAAAGAGUGACAAUACGUAUGAAAUUGAUACUUUAACUUUGAGCACCAAUAACUCCUUCAUAAAAAUUCCAAAUCAUACAAAAUUUGUACCAAAUUUAUACCCAAAAAACCUAAACUUAAUAAUCCUAGCAUCCAAAGCUCGAAUGCCCUCGAAAGAAAAAUCCUAAUCCCUAAUAAGGCCUUGGGCAGCCUC